This 236-nucleotide ribosomal RNA is filed under the name Escherichia coli. RNAcentral's name for it is "partial 16S ribosomal RNA". It matches the Rfam family "Bacterial small subunit ribosomal RNA", at positions 1 to 233 of the family's 1533-position model. The record is from RNAcentral. Lineage: Bacteria; Pseudomonadati; Pseudomonadota; Gammaproteobacteria; Enterobacterales; Enterobacteriaceae. RNAcentral also lists the same sequence under 1 other name.
AAAUUGAAGAGUUUGAUCAUGGCUCAGAUUGAACGCUGGCGGCAGGCCUAACACAUGCAAGUCGAACGGUAACAGGAAGAAGCUUGCUUCUUUGCUGACGAGUGGCGGACGGGUGAGUAAUGUCUGGGAAACUGCCUGAUGGAGGGGGAUAACUACUGGAAACGGUAGCUAAUACCGCAUAACGUCGCAAGACCAAAGAGGGGGACCUUCGGGCCUCUUGCCAUCGGAUGUGCCCA